RNAcentral lists this ribosomal RNA (1010 nucleotides) under uncultured organism. RNAcentral's name for it is "bacterial SSU rRNA". It matches the Rfam family "Bacterial small subunit ribosomal RNA", at positions 61 to 1108 of the family's 1533-position model. The record is from RNAcentral.
GUCGAACGCAACCUUCGGGUUGAGUGGCGGACGGGUGAGUAACGCGUGAGAAUCUGCCUUGGGGUCGGGGACAACCACUGGAAACGGUGGCUAAUACCGGAUAAGCCUUUGGGUAAAAGAUUUAUUGCCCCAAGAGGAGCUCGCGUCCGAUUAGCUAGUUGGUGAGGUAAAAGCUCACCAAGGCAGCGAUCAGUAGCUGGUCUGAGAGGACGAUCAGCCACACUGGGACUGAGACACGGCCCAGACUCCUACGGGAGGCAGCAGUGGGGAAUUUUCCGCAAUGGGCGAAAGCCUGACGGAGCAAGACCGCGUGAGGGAGGAAGGCUCUUGGGUUGUAAACCUCUUUUCUCAGGGAAGAAGCUCUGACGGUACCUGAGGAAUCAGCCUCGGCUAACUCCGUGCCAGCAGCCGCGGUAAUACGGAGGAGGCAAGCGUUAUCCGGAAUUAUUGGGCGUAAAGCGUCCGCAGGUGGCGAUUCAAGUCUGCUGUCAAAGCACGGGGCUUAACUCCGUUAAGGCAGUGGAAACUGAAUAGCUAGAGUGCCGUAGGGGUAGAGGGAAUUCCCGGUGUAGCGGUGAAAUGCGUAGAGAUCGGGAAGAACAUCGGUGGCGAAAGCGCUCUACUGGACGGCAACUGACACUCAGGGACGAAAGCUAGGGGAGCGAAUGGGAUUAGAUACCCCAGUAGUCCUAGCUGUAAACGAUGGAUACUAAGGUGUAGCUUGUAUCGACCCGAGCUGUGCCGAAGCUAACGCGUUAAGUAUCCCGCCUGGGGAGUACGCACGCAAGUGUGAAACUCAAAGGAAUUGACGGGGGCCCGCACAAGCGGUGGGAGUAUGUGGGUUAAUUCGAAUGCACGGCGAAAGAACCUUACCAGGGGUUGACAUGUCCGGAAUCCCGGUGAAAGCUGGGAGUGCCUUCGGGAGGCGGAACACAGGUUGUUGCCUUGGGUGGUCGUCAGUUCGUGUCGUGAGAUGUUGGGUUAAGUCCCGCAACGAGCGCAACCCUCGU